CACAUAGUGCAGACACUGGAAGAGUAUGCAGCUCAUCGUACAAGCAGUAUCUGUCCCUCGCCAAGGAAAAGACCUCAUUGUGUAAACAGGUUGUUCUCAAACUCGUUCAAGACAAGACUGACCUUGAGCUCCUGCUGCCACUUCCCCGGUCGUGGUCCCACCAUGCCUUGCUUAAGUGGUUCCCAGAGAUGGAACUAUAGAAGGCUCUGUGUAUGGUAGGCAACCACUGUACCAACCGAGCCACGUCCGAGCUCAUAGGCAAUAGAAGACAACCCUAACUAAGAUGCUACUUAACCUUCAACAUGGGUUUGUUUGCCAGGGAGGCCACCUGGCUCAAACCAUCUAGCUCAGGUGGUUCUUAAUGCCCUCUGUGGAUCCAGAGACUGGCAACAGAUGUACCCUCAACCCAAGACCUAGGACCUCAUAAUGGAUGUUCUGAUUCUUCCCAAAUCCUCCAAAACCCAAGGCAGCACUUCGAAAAUGACAAACUCCAUGAAAGGCUGACGUGCUGGGGCACUAAUAUAGGUCUCAGACCUGAGGAUGGCGGGGAGAGUCAAGAGGAUACCUGUCCAAGAUGGAACCUGCAUCCUCCAGCUUCAGAUUCUGCAGAUGUCUGGGCCUGAGGCAUAGCAGCCAUCUCCUUCCCACCCAUCACCCAUGUUCACACCAUUUAUUCCAACCCAGCAAGUAUUUACUGAAUACCUCCUAAGGGGAAAGAUUCGCAAACAUCCUUCCUCUUUCAUCUCCUCAUAGGAACACAUUUUAGAUUGAAAAAGAUGUGUUACGAUCCUGUGAAGGAAAGAUCGACCCUGUCCCUGCCCAGGGACUUCGGGCUGAAAUGAGGAUGCUUGCCUCUCACCUUGAGCCAUAAAUAAUUGAAGAUACAAUCAGGGCAAUUCAGCCUGCCUGUGCCCUCCUCGCUCCACCAUGAGUUAGUGUGUGGCGUAGUCGCAAAUAUGGGGCUGUGUCAGCAGAUGCCUGAGAGCAUCCUGUACUGAAGCCCGCAAAGCAGGCCAGUGUUCACAUGCUGAAUUUGGAUUAGAGGGAGGGGAAGAGAUUUUUAAAUGCUACUAUGUUGAUUAACAACUGUGUGGUGAUUUUAUGAUACGACACCCGAUGAAUCAAAGCCAUUAAACUUGAUGUUUUAAUUAUUUACCGAA
Long non-coding RNA from Mesocricetus auratus (golden hamster), 1160 nucleotides. RefSeq lists it as uncharacterized. The transcript has 4 exons. NCBI's taxonomy places the organism in Eukaryota, Metazoa, Chordata, Mammalia, Rodentia, Cricetidae. The record is from RefSeq and is a predicted model, not a curated record.